AGUAUGGGGAAGCGAUCUCCCCAUGAGGCGACAGCUGAAGAAUCGCGCCCGUCUUUAUUCGAGGGCGCAUCAUG
Molecule: non-coding RNA, 74 nt
Filed under: unclassified sequences
Description: chrB RNA
Rfam family: chrB-a RNA
Source: RNAcentral